GACGAACGCUGGCGGCGUGCUUAACACAUGCAAGUCGAACGGAAAGGCCCUGCUUUUGUGGGGUGCUCGAGUGGCGAACGGGUGAGUAACACGUGAGUAACCUGCCCUUGACUUUGGGAUAACUUCUGGAAACUGGGGCUAAUACCGGAUAGGAUCUCCUGCUGCAUGGUGGGGGUGGGAAAGUUUCGGCGGUUGGGGAUGGACUCGGGGCUUAUCAGCUUGUUGGUGGGGUAGUGGCUUACCAAGGCUUGGACGGGUAGCCGGCCUGAGAGGGUGACCGGCCACAUGGGGACUGAGAUAGGGACCAGACGGCUACGGGGGGCAGCAGUGGGGAAUAUUGCACAAUGGGCGGAAGCCUGAUGCAGCAACGCCGCGUGCGGGAUGACGGUCUUCGGGUUGUAAACCGCUUUCGCCUGUGACGAAGAGUGAGUGACGGUAAUGGGUAAAGAAGCACCGGCUAACUACGUG
Molecule: ribosomal RNA, 468 nt
Filed under: uncultured bacterium
Lineage: Bacteria
Description: partial 16S ribosomal RNA
Rfam family: Bacterial small subunit ribosomal RNA
Source: RNAcentral